Long non-coding RNA from Ananas comosus (pineapple), 354 nucleotides. RefSeq lists it as uncharacterized. The record is from RefSeq and is a predicted model, not a curated record. NCBI's taxonomy places the organism in Eukaryota, Viridiplantae, Streptophyta, Magnoliopsida, Poales, Bromeliaceae. The transcript has 5 exons.
GUGGAUGGAGAGGACUCGCAUGGGAGGUAUUUUCGCAGCUCCAAGUCUCAGGGAAGCUGAAUUGAAGUCUAGUGAGCUGGUUUGAGAUGGUUUAAAGCACCAAUUGAGGAGUGGUUUUGCUGUAAUUCUUCACCCCAAAGUCAGAGUUAAAGCCUUCGAGGUUUCCAAAUUAAUUUGAGCUGAAUUUGUGACCUUGGGGACUGGUUUAGAGGGUGUUUCAACCUGGGCGAGGCUGCGAUUGACUUUCAGAUUAUCUUUGGCUGAUAUGUGAGGGCAAUUAGAGGCUUAACUUGAGCAGAGUGGGGCACCGUUGAGUUGAGUUUCGGGAUUUCUUGUGACUGGAUUGAACUUAGG